GGUAACCUUUUUGGAGCCAGCCGCCUAAGGUGGGAUAGAUGAUUGGGGUGAAGUCGUAACAAGGUAGCCGUAUCGGAAGGUGCGGCUGGAUCACCUCCUUUCUAAGGAA
Molecule: ribosomal RNA, 109 nt
Filed under: Enterococcus faecalis
Lineage: Bacteria; Bacillati; Bacillota; Bacilli; Lactobacillales; Enterococcaceae
Description: partial 16S ribosomal RNA
Rfam family: Bacterial small subunit ribosomal RNA
Source: RNAcentral